ACAUGCCUACAACUUAUCUUUAAUGCACCAUAUCCCAUUAGAACUCCGCAGUUAAGCACGUUCAAGCUAUAGUAGUACUGGGAUGGGUGAUCGCCCGAGAAGUCAUAGUAUUUUACAUGCC
This is a non-coding RNA of Picea glauca (white spruce), 121 nucleotides long. The record is from Rfam. NCBI's taxonomy places the organism in Eukaryota, Viridiplantae, Streptophyta, Pinopsida, Pinales, Pinaceae.